CAGCAGCCGCGGGAAUACAGAGGGUGCGAGCGUUAAUCGGAUUUACUGGGCGUAAAGCGUGCGUAUGCGGCUUUUUAAGUCGGAUGUGAAAUCCCUGAGCUUAACUUAGGAAUUGCAUUCGAUACUGGGAAGCUAGAGUAUGGGAGAGGAUGGUAGAAUUCCAGGUGUAGCGGUGAAAUGCGUAGAGAUCUGGAGGAAUACCGAUGGCGAAGGCAGCCAUCUGGCCUAAUACUGACGCUGAGGUACGAAAGCAUGGGGAGCAAACAGGAUUAGAUACCCCGGUAGUCCCUGUCUCUUAUAC
Molecule: ribosomal RNA, 301 nt
Filed under: uncultured bacterium
Lineage: Bacteria
Description: partial 16S ribosomal RNA
Rfam family: Bacterial small subunit ribosomal RNA
Source: RNAcentral